GAAGAUGGCUGUGAAACUCAUUAGAAUAACAAUAUAAGUCAUCUAUGUUAGUCAACGUUUAUUCAUAAAUCUGGUCCUUCACCGUCACGUGCGUAUUGUAUUUUUGCCCAACUAACCAAUAGCAAUAUUAAUUAGGAAAGUUACCUAUUUGUGACUCAAACAAUAGGGUAAAUUGGAAAUUACUAUUGGUGGAUUUGGCAAAAUACAAUACACACGUGACGGACCAGAUUUAUAAAUAAACGUUGACUAACGUAGAUAACGAGUCAUAUUGUUAUUCUAAUGAGUUUCACAGCCAUCUUC
This is a non-coding RNA of Paramuricea clavata, 300 nucleotides long. NCBI's taxonomy places the organism in Eukaryota, Metazoa, Cnidaria, Anthozoa, Malacalcyonacea, Plexauridae. The record is from the annotation of a GenBank genome assembly.